AGGACGAACGCUGGCGGCGUGCCUAACACAUGCAAGUGGAGCGACGAACCGGGCUUCGGCCCGGGGCAAAGCCGCGAACGGGUGAGUAACACGUGGGUAACCUGCCCUGAUGAUCGGGACAACCCGAGGAAACUCGGGCUAAUACCGAAUGUGCCCUACGGCCGUAAGGCUGCUGGGGAAAGGAAGCUUCGGCCUCCGCAUCGGGAUGGGCCCGCGGCCCAUUAGCUUGUUGGUGAGGUAACGGCUCACCAAGGCGACGAUGGGUAGCUGGUCUGAGAGGACGAUCAGCCACACUGGGACUGAGACACGGCCCAGACUCCUACGGGAGGCAGCAGUGGGGAAUCUUGCGCAAUGCGCGAAAGCGUGACGCAGCAACGCCGCGUGGGGAAGACGGCCCUCGGGUUGUAAACUGUCUUUUCUUUGGGACGAGCAAGGACGGUACCAGAGGAAUCGAGCCCCGGCUCACUACGCGCCAGCAGCCGCGGUAA
This 488-nucleotide ribosomal RNA is filed under the name uncultured bacterium. Its description in RNAcentral is "SSU rRNA". It matches the Rfam family "Bacterial small subunit ribosomal RNA", at positions 26 to 523 of the family's 1533-position model. The record is from RNAcentral.